GGGAGGGUUCUCGGUGAAGCCUGGAUCCCCCCCUCCGCCGCUCCCCCGCCCCCCGCCCCGCAAACCGCAAACAGGCACAGACGGGUAGUAUCCAGGGACAGGUGGGCAGAGCUGGGGCCAGUGCCUGGCGUCUGUCAGGGGUGUCCGCCAGGGCCCAUGCUUCCGGAGGCGGGGACAGCGGGAAGUCACAAAGUGUUCCCCGUGUCGCUUGACAGGUGUGGCCUGCUGGGCGGGAAUCCUGCCCCAGCACGCCGGUUCUCCCGGACAACCUGGGGUUGCAGCAGCCAUCAGUGCCUGGCCUGCCUGCCCGCCUGCCUCUCACCCGGAGAGGUCAAGGUGAGCCCGCAGAGAAAGCUCCGGUGUCUCUAGAAGCGGGCGAGCUGCGGAGCGCCCCCUCCCAGCGGUUGUCACGCUGGAAGGUGCGUGGGAACACCUGGAGGGCUCGUUCCAAGCCAGGUGGCCGCCGGGCCCCACCCCAGAGCCUCUGAUCCUGCAGCUCUAGGGUGGGGCCUGAGAGGUGGGGACUCCAGCAAGCUCCUGGGUGAUGCCCGUGCCACCGCCGCUGGUCCGGGGACCCCCCCCACCCCCCCGUGCGAAGCACUGCUCUGGAGGUGGUGGCUCCUAGGUGUGUGCCCCCUGCCCUACCCCGGACCGGCUCCUUUGCGGGGUCCCCAGGGCCUUGGGAAAUGGCGGGGGGGGGGGGGCCCCCCCCGGNCGCGAGAGCAGCGCGGCUGUCAUCGCCACCCCUCCCUGCCCCGGGGGCCCUGGAAGGUGCCUGGCCGCCCACCGCCCGCCCGGGCAGGAUGAGGCGUCAGGUCUGUGCAGGCGCUGGGCUGAUAACAUCUGGACGCUGGGAGGCGGGGGCGGAGAGGAGAGUUGGGCCUGGGGCCUGGAAGCUCUCCCUGCCGAGGCCCAGGCAGAAGAGCCGACUGCCCAGCCGGGCUCGGGGACGGGAGGGAACAUGCGCCCUGAGACCCAGAGUGCGGGUUUGGGGGCGUGUGGCGACGAGAUCGGGGCGGCGGCGGGGGGGGGGGGGGGGGGGGGNCCGGAAACGAGGCGCUGGCGGUCGUCUGGUCUGUGGGUGCGGCCAGCCCUCUCCGGCGGGUGGGAAGCCGCGGCCUUUCCUGCCGGACGCUCCUUCCUCACCAGGAGGGUCUCCCAGCCCCCGGGCGAUGCUGCCCGGACCUGCUCGAUGCCCAGCAGCACCGCCCACCGCCCACCGCCCACCCCCCGGGCCGGCCGGUCCUGGCAGCGGCUGGUCUUUGUCCGGCUCUGGGCCGGCCCGCUGUGCGGUGGGGGCGGCAGAGGAAGCGCCGCGCGUCUCCAGCCGGCAUUCGAGCCCAGGGUGCGCAGCUCCGGGACCCCAGCAGCCGAGCGAGUCCUGGCUGUGGGGUCGGACGGCGGGGUGGCCCUGGGCCCCCGUUUUCUGCAUUCCCCUCUUCCCCCGCACCCCCGGCGCCCCGUCAUCAUCAUCGGGCAUUUCCCUGACGGCGGGUUCAAGCUGGCUGUACGUCGUGAUAGGAGCCCUGAGUCACAUCUCGCUACUAUUUUUUCCCCGCUUUGUCACUCGUCUCUCUGUGGUGUGGGGUUUGUGCUUGGUCACACGAUUCCAGGGUUUGUGUCAUCGGACUUUGCAGGCUUUUCCGAAGGGCUUCUGGGGUUUCUCCGGGGCUUGUUGGCCUGCCACUGACUUAGCGGGGCGCCGCCUCCUUCGAAAGUCACCGAGCGUUCGUUACCCGUUGCUGCAUCACACGUCUACCCCCAGGAGCCGCGCAGCGCGGCCGGCGCUCGAGGCACGGUGCCGGUCUGAUGACUUCACCUCCAAGUGACCCUCCCUCCCCUCGGCUGGAUCUUGAUGGGUCACACAGGCCCAAGCCGGGAGCAGUGCAGGAGGGCCCGGCCAAUGAGAAGGCUCCAGGGAGCAUCCUUGCUCCUGAACCUGGCGCGGGAGGGGCUCCUGGUCCGCGCAGGCCCCUCGGGAGCGGGACCCUGUCCUCUGUCUGCGCGGGGGUGGCAGGUUCCAGCCCCCGGGACCAAGACAGGCAGGGCGUGUCACCCUUAGAUGGUCGCGGACAGGACACACGAAAAGCCAGAGAAAGAACAUGUGACCGAGCCCCUGCCUGGCCCCCACGGCCCGAGGUGUGUGCCCCCUGCCCUCUGCCCUUGCGGAGGAGCUGGCAGCCCUGGUGGCACAUGGACGAUCCCGGGGCUGGUUGGCACCUGGAGCCGCAGCUGCAGGCCUACGCCACAGCCGCAGCCAGGCCGGGUCCUUAACCCACUGAGC
Molecule: long non-coding RNA, 2284 nt
Filed under: Sus scrofa (pig)
Lineage: Eukaryota; Metazoa; Chordata; Mammalia; Artiodactyla; Suidae
Description: lncRNA (ENSSSCG00065023373.1)
Source: RNAcentral